Molecule: ribosomal RNA, 502 nt
Filed under: uncultured bacterium
Lineage: Bacteria
Description: partial 16S ribosomal RNA
Rfam family: Bacterial small subunit ribosomal RNA
Source: RNAcentral
GAUUAACGCUGGCGGCGUGCCUAACACAUGCAAGUCGAGCGGCAGCGAGUUUUACACUGAAUUCUGGAAGCUUCUAGUUUAAAGAUAAGAUUUAUUCAAGAAUUUUGUGUAAAAUGUCGGCGAGCGGCGGACGGCUGAGUAACUCGUGGGAACGUACCCCAAAGUGAUGGAUAACGCAUCGAAAGGUGUGCUAAUACCGCAUAUGGUCUUCGGAUUAAAGCCUUCGGGCGCUUUGGGUACGGCCUGCGUAAGAUUAGAUAGUUGGUGGGGUAAUGGCCUACCAAGUCGACGAGCGUUAACUGGUUUGAGAGGAUGAUCAGUCAGACUGGAACUGAGACACGGUCCAGACUCCUACGGGAGGCAGCAGUGAGGAAUCUUCAACAAUGGGCGAAAGCCUGAUGGAGCAACGCCGCGUGCAGGAUGAAGGCAUUCGGGUUGUAAACUGCUUUUAUAAGUGAGGAUUAUGACAGUAACUUAUGAAUAAGGAUCGGCUAACUACGUG